CUGGUUUUCAUAGUGGUUUCCCAGAUGUCUGUUAGAUCUGAGAUCACUGUGAAAGCUGAUU
This 61-nucleotide microRNA precursor is filed under the name Limulus polyphemus (Atlantic horseshoe crab). RNAcentral's name for it is "Lpo-Bantam-P14_pre stem-loop". Lineage: Eukaryota; Metazoa; Arthropoda; Merostomata; Xiphosura; Limulidae. The record is from RNAcentral.